CACGUAGGGGGCGAGCGUUGUCCGGAUUUAUUGGGCGUAAAGGGCUCGUAGGCGGCUCAGUAAGUCGGGUGUGAAACCUCCAGGCUCAACCUGGAGACGCCACCUGAUACUGCUGUGGCUAGAGUCCGGUAGGGGAGCAUGGAAUUCCUGGUGUAGCGGUGAAAUGCGUAGAUAUCAGGAGGAACACCGAUGGCGAAGGCAGGUCUCUGGGCUGACACUGACGCUCAUGCACGAAAGCGUGGGGAGCAAACAGG
Molecule: ribosomal RNA, 254 nt
Filed under: uncultured bacterium
Lineage: Bacteria
Description: partial 16S ribosomal RNA
Rfam family: Bacterial small subunit ribosomal RNA
Source: RNAcentral